UACGUAGGGUGCAGGCGUUAAUCGGAAUUACUGGGCGUAAAGCGUGCGCAGGCGGUUUUCUAAGUCAGAUGUGAAAUCCCCGGGCUUAACCUGGGAACUGCGUUUGAAACUGGGAGGCUAGAGUGCGGCAGAGGGGGGUGGAAUUCCACGUGUAGCAGUGAAAUGCGUAGAGAUGUGGAGGAACACCGAUGGCGAAGGCAGCCCCCUGGGCCUGCACUGACGAUCAUGCACGAAAGAGUGGGGAGCAAACAGG
This 253-nucleotide ribosomal RNA is filed under the name uncultured bacterium. RNAcentral describes it as "partial 16S ribosomal RNA". It matches the Rfam family "Bacterial small subunit ribosomal RNA", at positions 524 to 776 of the family's 1533-position model. The record is from RNAcentral.